Molecule: transfer RNA, 73 nt
Filed under: Angiostrongylus costaricensis
Lineage: Eukaryota; Metazoa; Nematoda; Chromadorea; Rhabditida; Metastrongylidae
Rfam family: tRNA
About the family: Transfer RNA (tRNA) molecules are approximately 80 nucleotides in length. Their secondary structure includes four short double-helical elements and three loops (D, anti-codon, and T loops).
Source: Rfam by way of RNAcentral
GGCCGCGUGGCGAAUUGGAUAACGCGUCUGCCUACGAUGCAGAAGAUUGCAGGUUCGAAUCCUGCCGUGGUCG